Molecule: ribosomal RNA, 360 nt
Filed under: uncultured bacterium
Lineage: Bacteria
Description: bacterial SSU rRNA
Rfam family: Bacterial small subunit ribosomal RNA
Source: RNAcentral
ACGGUCCAGACUCCUACGGGAGGCAGCAGUAGGGAGUUUUCGGCAAUGGGGGGAACCCUGACCGAGCGACGCCGCGUGAGUGAAGAAGGUCCUUCGGAUUGUAAAGCUCUGUUGUAAGCCAUGAAUGAUAGCUUUAGGAAAUGAGAGUUAUUUGACGACAGCUUACCAGAAAGCCACGGCUAACUACGUGCCAGCAGCCGCGGUAAUACGUAGGUGGCGAGCGUUAUCCGGAAUUAUUGGGCGUAAAGAGUGAGCAGGCGGCCGAAAAAGUCUGAAGUUAAAUCGUGGGGCUCAACCCCAUUCCGCUUUGGAAACUGUUUGGCUAGAGUGCGAUAGAAGUGAAGGGAACUCCAUGUGUAG